Molecule: ribosomal RNA, 494 nt
Filed under: uncultured bacterium
Lineage: Bacteria
Description: partial 16S ribosomal RNA
Rfam family: Bacterial small subunit ribosomal RNA
Source: RNAcentral
GACGAACGCUGGCGGCGUGCUUAACACAUGCAAGUCGAACGGUGAAGCGCCUUCCUUUUUGGUGGGUGUGGAUGAGUGGCGAACGGGUGAGUAACACGUGAGUAACCUGCCCCCUUCUUCUGGAUAACCGCAUGAAAGUGUGGCUAAUACGGGAUAUUCUGGGUCUGUCGCAUGAUGGGUCUGGGAAAGAUAUUGUUUCGGUGGGGGAUGGGCUCGCGGCCUAUCAGCUUGUUGGUGGGGUGAUGGCCUACCGAGGCGGUGACGGGUAGCCGGCCUGAGAGGGUGGACGGUCACACUGGGACUGAGACACGGCCCAGACUCCUACGGGAGGCAGCAGUGGGGAAUAUUGCACAAUGGGCGCAAGCCUGAUGCAGCGGCGCCGCGUGAGGGAUGGAGGCCUGCGGGUUGUGAACCUCUUUCGCCAGUGAAGCAGGCCUGCCUCGUUUGUGGGUGGGUUGACGGUAGCUGGAUAAGAAGCGCCGGCUAACUACGUG